Molecule: long non-coding RNA, 369 nt
Filed under: Helianthus annuus (common sunflower)
Lineage: Eukaryota; Viridiplantae; Streptophyta; Magnoliopsida; Asterales; Asteraceae
Description: hypothetical non coding rna
Source: RNAcentral
AUGCUCGGUUCUGGAAAUUUCACUGACUCGGGUUUCGGUUCAGUUGUCUAUCAUGUCGACACCAGGUAACGAACUUCCAUUGCUAACCGGGCGAAUCUAUUUUUAUCGUUUUGAGCAUUGAAAUGGCGAGCCCACUUACUACCAACCCACCUUAAGUUAAUGACCUUUGCCAUAUUGCGCGGCUUCUCAACACCAUCAUGCAUCUGAGUCUUGAACACCAUUUUGCAAACCUAGCGGUGGGUCAUCUUGACAAUCAUCAGCCUGACCAUAAGCAUAGCCAGACAGCCCAGGAUGCACCAGCAUAACAGGCCUCGUGCAUCCAAAUUUUGUAAUUAAUCUGGGCCAUAAAGCUUAAAGUGGGCUCCAUCU